This 507-nucleotide ribosomal RNA is filed under the name Triticum aestivum (bread wheat). Its description in RNAcentral is "partial small subunit ribosomal RNA". The record is from RNAcentral. Lineage: Eukaryota; Viridiplantae; Streptophyta; Magnoliopsida; Poales; Poaceae.
AUGAUUCUGGUUAUCCUUGAUGAUUAUUCUCAUUAUGUGUGGACUUUUCCUUUGCGCAGAAAGUCGGAUGCACUCUCCACUUUGACGGAUUUUUACUCCUAUGUCAGCACGCAGUUUGGGCGUCCCAUCCUUGCUCUUCAGACUGACAAUGGAAAAGAGUUCGACAACCUUGCUUUCCGCACUUUUCUGUCGCAUCACGGCACAUUUUUUCGUCUCACAUGCCCGUAUACUUCACAGCAGAACGGUCGAGCCAAACGCGUCCUUCGCACUCUGAACGACUGCGUUCGCACGCUCCUGUUUCAUGCUAACGUGCCGCCCCGUUUCUGGUCGGACGCACUCGCCACUGCAUCACUUCUCCUUAACAUUAGACCAUGCCGCCCACGGUGGAACUACGCACCUCACCAUCUUCUCUUUGGUACGCCCCCAUCUUAUGAUGGCUUGCGUUUUUUUGGGUGCCUUUGCUAUCCCAGCACUGCCGACACUGCUUCUCACAAGCUUGCACCUUGA